This is a long non-coding RNA of Mya arenaria, 701 nucleotides long. RefSeq lists it as uncharacterized. The transcript is spliced from 4 exons. NCBI's taxonomy places the organism in Eukaryota, Metazoa, Mollusca, Bivalvia, Myida, Myidae. The record is from RefSeq and is a predicted model, not a curated record.
AACAAAGUAGCCAGACUAGACAGAAACUCUUGCUGCAAUGACUCAUUACAAAGGAACAAUACUUAGUGGUCCCGCAUAGGUGAUGCACACGAUAUAAACGUGUGUACAGGAUGACUUCGGCGUGAAUAUAAAUGACCAUGUAGAGUGCGGCAUACAGUCGUGUAAGCCAGGAUAUGUUUGCAAUAUUCUGAAGAAUACAUGUGAAAUUAAAGAUUGUUCACCGUUAUCAAUUUCGAACAGCACCGUUCUUCUCGGUAAUGUAAACGCAAUUGGAGGCAAGAUAAAGAUGCGAUGUAAGGAGGGGUUCACUGCAAAAGGACACCCAGUCAUCACUUUAACCUGUGGAACGAACGGAGUCUGGAGUCAAGAGCCGAUAAAUUGCAUCCCAAUCACAUUGAAAAUGGGCGUCAACGGACAUUAUACGUUAACGUUUGCCGAGGCGGCUGGGAGAUGCUCUUACUAUGGCCUUGCAAUUGCCACCCCUGCUCAAUUGCUCGAGGCGUGGAAACAAGGAAUGGAGAUGUGUAGUUGUGGGUGGCUUUCAGACGGAUCCAGUGGUCUCAUUUUAUAAUCUGAGCCUUCUUUGUGCCUUUCGAACUUAUCAGAAUGUCUGGUGUAGUAUUUGAGUGUGCACUUGUGUAGUAGCACAAUAGCUUUUUUGGUAUUUCGUUUUAUGUACAAAAAUAGAAAUAGAAAACUAU